Lycium barbarum (goji berry) is the source of this 382-nucleotide long non-coding RNA. RefSeq lists it as uncharacterized. Lineage: Eukaryota; Viridiplantae; Streptophyta; Magnoliopsida; Solanales; Solanaceae. The transcript is spliced from 3 exons. The record is from RefSeq and is a predicted model, not a curated record.
GUCAAGCUGGGCAGUGAAAUGGGCCCAACCCGAUUCCAAUCCGGGUCAGGCCCAUUUCCUUAUUAUUUAAGGGAGUUUUCAGCCCCCUCCUCCACAUUUCAGAUCAGAAAAUUCCAUUAGAGAGAGAGAGAAAACUUCAAGGCUAAGAAGGUCAUUUUGAUCAAAAUCCGAGCUCCGAAUCCCGAAGCUCAUGAAGAGAAAAACGUUGUACGUUGCAUUGCCUUCAAUUUGAGAUAAAUAUUGGUCUUGGGGGAUGAAAUUUUCGUGGUGGAUCUUCUGAUAAGAUUUUGGAUGAAAUUGAAGUCGACGCCAAGCGAGCGUAAGGCGCUAUCGAGGUACAGGCGCACUCGGUGACACGCCGCCAGUCUAGGGCACAGGUUCU